Molecule: long non-coding RNA, 368 nt
Filed under: Anas zonorhyncha (Eastern spot-billed duck)
Lineage: Eukaryota; Metazoa; Chordata; Aves; Anseriformes; Anatidae
Description: lncRNA (ENSAZOG00000002916.1)
Source: RNAcentral
AAAAAUGUGAACUGAAUUUGCCUCUGCUCUGCUUUUAGAGGCACAAGGGUAUGCUUUCACAUGAGUAGACAUGCUAUCUAUGCCACGCAAGCUAUGUUAGUUUGAAUUGACUCAGACUACAUGAAUCCAAACUAGUGUGCUGCAUUCAACGCCUCUGAGAUUUAUUUGGAGUAAAAGAUCUGUGUCAGUCUAUGCACCAGAGCUCUUUUUCUUUCUCUUCCUUCACUCUUCAUGCACAUUUCAAGCUCUAUGGAAAAAUCUUAUGACAAGACACUUUCAGCUCAGCCAACUACAUCCAGUAUGUCCUGUGGCCAGGAAGAAAAGGAAAUUUCUUAAACUAUAUGAAGAAGUACCAUCUCUAAAGAAGU